AGUCAUUAAGAUCCAGUGGCAAGACAAAAGUCAUGAUGACCAGUGAUGGCCCAGGAUGCAGUGGAUGGUCUGGGCAUCUUUGAUGUCUGACUAAGCACUAAGCCCUCUAAUAAUGAGGAAACUGAGGCUGAAAGAGGUUAAGGGACUUGCCCGAAGUCACAGAGCUAGCAUCUGAGGCUGGAUUCAAACUCAGAUCUUACUGACUCUAAGUAUACCAAUGCUACCCAUGGUGACAUUUACCUGCUUCAUAAAAUGGGAAAAUAAUACUAAGAGGAACCCUAGAAAUAGAAAAGGAGAAAUCAUAUUAAUGUGACCCUUAUCUUCUGUCUUGAAAUCAAUACUUUGUUUUAGUUCUGAGGCAGAAGAGUGGGAAGGGCUAGGCAAUGGGAGUCACACAGCUAGCCCUGGCUCUUAAUCUACUGUGCCAACUACCUGCCACCUCAAGUCUACUGAUGUACGCAGAAUACCAUGGUAUCUCAAUGUGGGACUACAUGAUCUUUGGUACUAAAGAACUAUUACAGAAAAUGCAAACUGUGCUCCAUGAUAUCUACAUAUCUUUUGUCAAACAAGGACUUUUCUAGUGUUGGGAGUAGAGAGAAGAAAGGAGACAACUGGGGACUUUGAUGUAACAAAAAAAAGAUAAGUUAAAAUAUUCUGUUGGAUUAAUAUCCAUAGAGUUUAUUUGGAUAAAUUAAUCUAUUAUGAAAUAUGAAUUAUAGAAAUGAAUUUUGGAGCUGAAGUUUAACUGAAAGGAAAGGACUGAAGAAAGUAUUCAAGCCAGUAUAUUAAUUCUCAGAGUUCAGGAUUCAAAUGUAGGUCUUCUGAUUCAAGAUACAGUGUUCCAAGGAUUGAAGUUAGUUCAACAGUUCUAAAUGAGGGGUUUUCUGUCUUUCAAAUAUUCAGUGCCAAAUUCUGUAAAAUUCUUUGGAUGAUCCUAACUUAUCUGGGCUUUCUGAAAUUACUUUAG
Molecule: long non-coding RNA, 967 nt
Filed under: Monodelphis domestica (gray short-tailed opossum)
Lineage: Eukaryota; Metazoa; Chordata; Mammalia; Didelphimorphia; Didelphidae
Description: lncRNA (ENSMODG00000045875.1)
Source: RNAcentral